GACGAACGCUGGCGGCGUGCUUAACACAUGCAAGUCGAACGGUGAUGCUCCAGCUUGCUGGAGUGGAUCAGUGGCGAACGGGUGAGUAACACGUGAGCAACCUGCCCCAGACUCUGGAAUAAGCGCUGGAAACGGCGUCUAAUACUGGAUACGAAACUGGCCCGCAUGGGCAUGGUUUGGAAAGUUUUUCGGUUUGGGAUGGGCUCGCGGCCUAUCAGCUUGUUGGUGAGGUAAUGGCUCACCAAGGCGACGACGGGUAGCCGGCCUGAGAGGGCGACCGGCCACACUGGGACUGAGACACGGCCCAGACUCCUACGGGAGGCAGCAGUGGGGAAUAUUGCACAAGGGGCGAAAGCCUGAUGCAGCGACGCCGCGUGAGGGAUGACGGCCUUCGGGUUGUAAACCUCUUUCAGCAGGGAAGAAGCGAAAGUGACGGGACCUGCAGAAGAAGCACCGGCGAACUACGG
RNAcentral lists this ribosomal RNA (467 nucleotides) under uncultured bacterium. Its description in RNAcentral is "partial 16S ribosomal RNA". It matches the Rfam family "Bacterial small subunit ribosomal RNA", at positions 28 to 506 of the family's 1533-position model. The record is from RNAcentral.